Molecule: ribosomal RNA, 2918 nt
Filed under: Bacillus anthracis (anthrax bacterium)
Lineage: Bacteria; Bacillati; Bacillota; Bacilli; Caryophanales; Bacillaceae
Also listed under: 2 other names
Description: bacterial LSU rRNA
Rfam family: Bacterial large subunit ribosomal RNA
Source: RNAcentral
UAAGUUAGAAAGGGCGCACGGUGGAUGCCUUGACACUAGGAGUCGAUGAAGGACGGGACUAACGCCGAUAUGCUUCGGGGAGCUGUAAGUAAGCUUUGAUCCGAAGAUUUCCGAAUGGGGAAACCCACCAUACGUAAUGGUAUGGUAUCCUUAUCUGAAUACAUAGGAUAAGGAAGACAGACCCAGGGAACUGAAACAUCUAAGUACCUGGAGGAAGAGAAAGCAAAUGCGAUUUCCUGAGUAGCGGCGAGCGAAACGGAACAUAGCCCAAACCAAGAGGCUUGCCUCUUGGGGUUGUAGGACAUUCUAUACGGAGUUACAAAGGAACGAGGUAGACGAAGCGACCUGGAAAGGUCCGUCGUAGAGGGUAACAACCCCGUAGUCGAAACUUCGUUCUCUCUUGAAUGUAUCCUGAGUACGGCGGAACACGUGAAAUUCCGUCGGAAUCUGGGAGGACCAUCUCCCAAGGCUAAAUACUCCCUAGUGAUCGAUAGUGAACCAGUACCGUGAGGGAAAGGUGAAAAGCACCCCGGAAGGGGAGUGAAAGAGAUCCUGAAACCGUGUGCCUACAAAUAGUCAGAGCCCGUUAACGGGUGAUGGCGUGCCUUUUGUAGAAUGAACCGGCGAGUUACGAUCCCGUGCGAGGUUAAGCUGAAGAGGCGGAGCCGCAGCGAAAGCGAGUCUGAAUAGGGCGUUUAGUACGUGGUCGUAGACCCGAAACCAGGUGAUCUACCCAUGUCCAGGGUGAAGUUCAGGUAACACUGAAUGGAGGCCCGAACCCACGCACGUUGAAAAGUGCGGGGAUGAGGUGUGGGUAGCGGAGAAAUUCCAAUCGAACCUGGAGAUAGCUGGUUCUCCCCGAAAUAGCUUUAGGGCUAGCCUUAAGUGUAAGAGUCUUGGAGGUAGAGCACUGAUUGGACUAGGGGUCCUCAUCGGAUUACCGAAUUCAGUCAAACUCCGAAUGCCAAUGACUUAUCCUUAGGAGUCAGACUGCGAGUGAUAAGAUCCGUAGUCAAAAGGGAAACAGCCCAGACCGCCAGCUAAGGUCCCAAAGUGUGUAUUAAGUGGAAAAGGAUGUGGAGUUGCUUAGACAACUAGGAUGUUGGCUUAGAAGCAGCCACCAUUUAAAGAGUGCGUAAUAGCUCACUAGUCGAGUGACUCUGCGCCGAAAAUGUACCGGGGCUAAAUACACCACCGAAGCUGCGGAUUGAUACCAAUGGUAUCAGUGGUAGGGGAGCGUUCUAAGGACAGUGAAGUCAGACCGGAAGGACUGGUGGAGUGCUUAGAAGUGAGAAUGCCGGUAUGAGUAGCGAAAGACGGGUGAGAAUCCCGUCCACCGAAUGCCUAAGGUUUCCUGAGGAAGGCUCGUCCGCUCAGGGUUAGUCAGGACCUAAGCCGAGGCCGACAGGCGUAGGCGAUGGACAACAGGUUGAUAUUCCUGUACCACCUCUUUAUCGUUUGAGCAAUGGAGGGACGCAGAAGGAUAGAAGAAGCGUGCGAUUGGUUGUGCACGUCCAAGCAGUUAGGCUGAUAAGUAGGCAAAUCCGCUUAUCGUGAAGGCUGAGCUGUGAUGGGGAAGCUCCUUAUGGAGCGAAGUCUUUGAUUCCCCGCUGCCAAGAAAAGCUUCUAGCGAGAUAAAAGGUGCCUGUACCGCAAACCGACACAGGUAGGCGAGGAGAGAAUCCUAAGGUGUGCGAGAGAACUCUGGUUAAGGAACUCGGCAAAAUGACCCCGUAACUUCGGGAGAAGGGGUGCUUUCUUAACGGAAAGCCGCAGUGAAUAGGCCCAAGCGACUGUUUAGCAAAAACACAGCUCUCUGCGAAGCCGUAAGGCGAAGUAUAGGGGGUGACACCUGCCCGGUGCUGGAAGGUUAAGGAGAGGGGUUAGCGUAAGCGAAGCUCUGAACUGAAGCCCCAGUAAACGGCGGCCGUAACUAUAACGGUCCUAAGGUAGCGAAAUUCCUUGUCGGGUAAGUUCCGACCCGCACGAAAGGUGUAACGAUUUGGGCACUGUCUCAACCAGAGACUCGGUGAAAUUAUAGUACCUGUGAAGAUGCAGGUUACCCGCGACAGGACGGAAAGACCCCGUGGAGCUUUACUGUAGCCUGAUAUUGAAUUUUGGUACAGUUUGUACAGGAUAGGCGGGAGCCUUUGAAACCGGAGCGCUAGCUUCGGUGGAGGCGCUGGUGGGAUACCGCCCUGACUGUAUUGAAAUUCUAACCUACGGGUCUUAUCGACCCGGGAGACAGUGUCAGGUGGGCAGUUUGACUGGGGCGGUCGCCUCCUAAAGUGUAACGGAGGCGCCCAAAGGUUCCCUCAGAAUGGUUGGAAAUCAUUCGUAGAGUGCAAAGGCAUAAGGGAGCUUGACUGCGAGACCUACAAGUCGAGCAGGGACGAAAGUCGGGCUUAGUGAUCCGGUGGUUCCGCAUGGAAGGGCCAUCGCUCAACGGAUAAAAGCUACCCCGGGGAUAACAGGCUUAUCUCCCCCAAGAGUCCACAUCGACGGGGAGGUUUGGCACCUCGAUGUCGGCUCAUCGCAUCCUGGGGCUGUAGUCGGUCCCAAGGGUUGGGCUGUUCGCCCAUUAAAGCGGUACGCGAGCUGGGUUCAGAACGUCGUGAGACAGUUCGGUCCCUAUCCGUCGUGGGCGUAGGAAAUUUGAGAGGAGCUGUCCUUAGUACGAGAGGACCGGGAUGGACGCACCGCUGGUGUACCAGUUGUUCUGCCAAGGGCAUAGCUGGGUAGCUAUGUGCGGAAGGGAUAAGUGCUGAAAGCAUCUAAGCAUGAAGCCCCCCUCAAGAUGAGAUUUCCCAUAGCGUAAGCUAGUAAGAUCCCUGAAAGAUGAUCAGGUUGAUAGGUUCGAGGUGGAAGCAUGGUGACAUGUGGAGCUGACGAAUACUAAUAGAUCGAGGACUUAACCA